Molecule: ribosomal RNA, 2123 nt
Filed under: Salmonella enterica subsp. enterica serovar Enteritidis
Lineage: Bacteria; Pseudomonadati; Pseudomonadota; Gammaproteobacteria; Enterobacterales; Enterobacteriaceae
Description: partial 23S ribosomal RNA
Rfam family: Bacterial large subunit ribosomal RNA
Source: RNAcentral
GGGUUGUGAGGUUAAGCGACUAAGCGUACACGGUGGAUGCCCUGGCAGUCAGAGGCGAUGAAGGGCGUGCUAAUCUGCGAUAAGCGCCGGUAAGGUGAUAUGAACCGUUAUAACCGGCGAUACCCGAAUGGGGAAACCCAGUGUGACUCGUCACACUAUCAUUAACUGAAUCCAUAGGUUAAUGAGGCGAACCGGGGGAACUGAAACAUCUAAGUACCCCGAGGAAAAGAAAUCAACCGAGAUUCCCCCAGUAGCGGCGAGCGAACGGGGAGGAGCCCAGAGCCUGAAUCAGCAUGUGUGUUAGUGGAAGCGUCUGGAAAGGCGCGCGAUACAGGGUGACAGCCCCGUACACAAAAGCGCAUGUGCUGUGAGCUCGAUGAGUAGGGCGGGACACGUGGUAUCCUGUCUGAAUAUGGGGGGACCAUCCUCCAAGGCUAAAUACUCCUGACUGACCGAUAGUGAACCAGUACCGUGAGGGAAAGGCGAAAAGAACCCCGGCGAGGGGAGUGAAAAAGAACCUGAAACCGUGUACGUACAAGCAGUGGGAGCACCCUUUGGGUGUGACUGCGUACCUUUUGUAUAAUGGGUCAGCGACUUAUAUUCUGUAGCAAGGUUAACCGAAUAGGGGAGCCGGAGGGAAACCGAGUCUUAAUUGGGCGUUAAGUUGCAGGGUAUAGACCCGAAACCCGGUGAUCUAGCCAUGGGCAGGUUGAAGGUUGGGUAACACUAACUGGAGGACCGAACCGACUAAUGUUGAAAAAUUAGCGGAUGACCUGUGGCUGGGGGUGAAAGGCCAAUCAAACCGGGAGAUAGCUGGUUCUCCCCGAAAGCUAUUUAGGUAGCGCCUCGUGAAUUCAUCUCCGGGGGUAGAGCACUGUUUCGGCUAGGGGGCUAUCCCGGCUUACCAACCCGAUGCAAACUGCGAAUACCGGAGAAUGUUAUCACGGGAGACACACGGCGGGUGCUAACGUCCGUCGUGAAGAGGGAAACAACCCAGACCGCCAGCUAAGGUCCCAAAGUCAUGGUUAAGUGGGAAACGAUGUGGGAAGGCCCAGACAGCCAGGAUGUUGGCUUAGAAGCAGCCAUCAUUUAAAGAAAGCGUAAUAGCUCACUGGUCGAGUCGGCCUGCGCGGAAGAUGUAACGGGGCUAAACCAUGCACCGAAGCUGCGGCAGCGACGCUUAUGCGUUGUUGGGUAGGGGAGCGUUCUGUAAGCCUGCGAAGGUGGCCUGUGAGGGUUGCUGGAGGUAUCAGAAGUGCGAAUGCUGACAUAAGUAACGAUAAAGCGGGUGAAAAGCCCGCUCGCCGGAAGACCAAGGGUUCCUGUCCAACGUUAAUCGGGGCAGGGUGAGUCGACCCCUAAGGCGAGGCCGAAAGGCGUAGUCGAUGGGAAACGGGUUAAUAUUCCCGUACUUGGUGUUACUGCGAAGGGGGGACGGAGAAGGCUAUGUUGGCCGGGCGACGGUUGUCCCGGUUUAAGCGUGUAGGCUGGUUUUCCAGGCAAAUCCGGAAAAUCAAGGCUGAGGCGUGAUGACGAGGCACUACGGUGCUGAAGCAACAAAUGCCCUGCUUCCAGGAAAAGCCUCUAAGCAUCAGGUAACAUCAAAUCGUACCCCAAACCGACACAGGUGGUCAGGUAGAGAAUACCAAGGCGCUUGAGAGAACUCGGGUGAAGGAACUAGGCAAAAUGGUGCCGUAACUUCGGGAGAAGGCACGCUGACACGUAGGUGAAGUGAUUUACUCACGGAGCUGAAGUCAGUCGAAGAUACCAGCUGGCUGCAACUGUUUAUUAAAAACACAGCACUGUGCAAACACGAAAGUGGACGUAUACGGUGUGACGCCUGCCCGGUGCCGGAAGGUUAAUUGAUGGGGUCAGCGCAAGCGAAGCUCCUGAUCGAAGCCCCGGUAAACGGCGGCCGUAACUAUAACGGUCCUAAGGUAGCGAAAUUCCUUGUCGGGUAAGUUCCGACCUGCACGAAUGGCGUAAUGAUGGCCAGGCUGUCUCCACCCGAGACUCAGUGAAAUUGAACUCGCUGUGAAGAUGCAGUGUACCCGCGGCAAGACGGAAAGACCCCGUGAACCUUUACUAUAGCUUGACACUGAACAUUGAGCCUUGAUGUGUAG